Molecule: transfer RNA, 73 nt
Filed under: Lotharella oceanica
Lineage: Eukaryota; Cercozoa; Chlorarachniophyceae
Description: tRNA-Val
Rfam family: tRNA
About the family: Transfer RNA (tRNA) molecules are approximately 80 nucleotides in length. Their secondary structure includes four short double-helical elements and three loops (D, anti-codon, and T loops).
Source: RNAcentral
GUUCGUGUAGUGUAGUGGUUAUCACGUUAGUCUUACAAACUAAAGGUCUCCAGUUCAAAUCUGGGCACGAACA